RNAcentral lists this ribosomal RNA (460 nucleotides) under uncultured bacterium. RNAcentral describes it as "SSU rRNA". It matches the Rfam family "Bacterial small subunit ribosomal RNA", at positions 26 to 518 of the family's 1533-position model. The record is from RNAcentral.
AGAAUCAACGCUGGCGGCGUGCCUAACACAUGCAAGUCGAACGAGAAAGUGGAGCAAUCCAUGAGUAAAGUGGCGACCGGGUGAGUAACACGUGACUAACCUACCUUCGAGUGGGGAAUAACCUCGGGAAACCGGGGCUAAUACCGCAUAAUGUCUUCGGACCAAAGGAGCAAUUCGCUGGAAGAGGGGGUCGCGGCCGAUUAGCUAGUUGGCGGGGUAACGGCCCACCAAGGCAAUGAUCGGUAGCCGGCCUGAGAGGGCGCACGGCCACACUGGAACUGAAACACGGUCCAGACUCCUACGGGAGGCAGCAGUGGGGAAUUUUGCGCAAUGGGGGAAACCCUGACGCAGCAACGCCGCGUGGAGGAUGAAGCCCCUUGGGGUGUAAACUCCUUUCGAUCGGGACGAUAAUGACGGUACCGGAUGAAGAAGCACCGGCUAACUCUGUGCCAGCAGCCGC